UACGUAGGGGGCAAGCGUUGUCCGGAUUUAUUGGGCGUAAAGAGCGUGUAGGCGGCCUGAAAGGUCAGCUGUGAAAACUCGAGGCUUAACCUCGAGACGUCGGUUGAAACCAUCUGGCUAGAGUCCGGAAGAGGAGUGUGGAAUUCCCGGUGUAGCGGUGAAAUGCGCAGAUAUCGGGAAGAACACCCGUGGCGAAGGCGGCACUCUGGGACGGUACU
Molecule: ribosomal RNA, 218 nt
Filed under: uncultured bacterium
Lineage: Bacteria
Description: partial 16S ribosomal RNA
Rfam family: Bacterial small subunit ribosomal RNA
Source: RNAcentral